AUGCCGGACGGCACGGGCACGCGGCGGCGGCAGCCGACGAGGCGAGGUGAUGCUUCGGGUCACCGGCGGGUCGCAGUUGACCUGCCAUUGGUGGUGGCGCCUUGGACGCCGCGGGUCAGUCAGGUGCACGAGGUGGCUGCCGGUGAGGGGGAGCCGGAGGUGCCAGACGCGGCGGUGACGGUUCUUGUGGCCGCCGUCGACGAGGUGGAAACGGUUCCCCCCUCCGCUCACAGGAAGGGCCAGCAUCAGCAUCAGCAUCACGUGCCGGUCCUGAGGACGGCUGAGGUGGAAAGGGAGGAGCCCCACGCCCUGGUCAGCACCGCGCUUUUGACCGAGGUGGGUGGAGCUGGACCGAUCCCGACGAUUCCAGAUCCCCCACUUGCCGAUGGUUGCUCAACACCUGCCCUCGGCAGGGGCGGGAAUGUGGUGGAGUCGGCAACGCCUAACUGUGGAGUGGCGGACAGCGAAAGGAACAGCGGUUCGGCAACGCUGGCACAAAGGCUGCAGAUCGUACAUGGCCAAGGCUGGGACGAUGACCAACGACAGUUGUCUCUGGAUGGAACUGAUAUGAUUCAAAUUUCAAAUCAAGCGCUGUCCCAGCCCGCUUCCCUCCACGCUGGGGAAAGCAGCGAGUCCGGUCAGCAUGCCACGGGUGCGGAUUGUGGCCAAGGAAAUGUCCUAGACACUUUUCUGGUGAGCUUGUCGGAUGCAAGGACCAUGGAGGAUAGGUGCUCGGCCACAAGAUCGACGAGAUCAAUCAACAGCUCUAUAGCGAGGUUCAGGUCCAAGUAUAGAAAGAAGAUCACGCCGGUGCUGUCAAGGCCAGCUGUGACCAGGAACAAACGGAGACGUCGAACACCUCCAUCGGUCGUCCGUCGCAGUCUGAGGAUCAAUAGUCGGCUUCGUAGCGGGGCAUCAGUAAAAACCCAGCAGCGCACGCUCAUGGUUCAGCUCGGAAUCGCAAGAGAAGGAGAGGUGAUUGGCGAGGAGGCCAGGCAGGCAUACCUGCAGCUGUUCUCGAGACCGUUGCAACAGUCACACAUUGCGGUAAUCGUUGGACUCUUUGGGUGGCAGGCGGAUGUGCUGCCGCUUGGCAGAGGGAUGGAGUGUGACACACUUUAG
Molecule: ribosomal RNA, 1122 nt
Filed under: Triticum aestivum (bread wheat)
Lineage: Eukaryota; Viridiplantae; Streptophyta; Magnoliopsida; Poales; Poaceae
Description: partial small subunit ribosomal RNA
Source: RNAcentral